GAAGGGAAAAUGAAGAAGACUGGAAGCAGAGGAAGGCUAUCAAUGGAAGAGAAUAUUGAAGAAGAAGAAGAAGAAAGUUCAAGAUUUGACAUAGCCACAAUUCAAGCUAGAGAAGAAGAGAUUGAGAGGAAGAAGAUGGAGGUUAGAGAGAAAGUUCAACUUCAAUUAGGCCGUGCAGAAGAAGAAGCUAAACGCUUAACUCAAAUUUGGGAAGAGCUUGAAGUGCUGGUUGAUCCCAUGAGAAAAGAAGUUGGAUUUAUACGCAAGAGGAUAGACAUGGCUAAUAAAGAACUGAAGCCACUGGGACAGAGCUGCCAAAAGAAGGAGAAAGAAUAUAAAGAAGCACUAGAAGCUUUUAAUGAAAAGAACAAAGAGAAAGCUCAACUAGUUACCACAUUAAUGGAGGUAAUAUUAAUAUAUUUCCUUCUUUUUAAUUAAUUUUCAUUUUAGUAGUUCCUUCCUUUUAUCAUUUUCACCAUUUUCCUGUGUUCUUAUCAGCUGCUGACUGAGAGUGAAAGAUUAAGAAUGAAGAAACUGGAAGAACUGAGCAAGAAUGUAGAAUCCAAACCUUGACAUGUCUAUUGCAUUACACCAAUCAUUUUUCUAAUGUGUGGUUUUCCUUGAAUAAAGAUGUGUUUGGAAGUAGCCAAAAGUAUAUGGUCAGACUAAAAUUUAUCCUGAUUUAUUUUUACAAUUAGAAAAUAGAAUUUUGUUUGGCAUAAUAACAGAAAACAUUUGCACUCCAUGCAAUGCAUAGCCUCAUGUACCAUUUCAAUUAAUUGAUUCUAUUUUAAUGUAUUACAAGUCAAUUAUGACCAGUUUACUUUACUUUUAAUGUAAGAGCA
Molecule: unclassified non-coding RNA, 845 nt
Filed under: Hevea brasiliensis (rubber tree)
Lineage: Eukaryota; Viridiplantae; Streptophyta; Magnoliopsida; Malpighiales; Euphorbiaceae
Source: RNAcentral